This 253-nucleotide ribosomal RNA is filed under the name uncultured prokaryote. RNAcentral describes it as "partial 16S ribosomal RNA". It matches the Rfam family "Bacterial small subunit ribosomal RNA", at positions 525 to 777 of the family's 1533-position model. The record is from RNAcentral.
ACAGAGGUGGCAAGCGUUGUUCGGAAUUACUGGGCGUAAAGGGCGCGUAGGCGGUUCGUUAAGUCCUGUGUGAAAUCCCCCGGCUCAACUGGGGAACUGCACAGGAAACUAGCGGGCUUGAGUUCGGGAGAGGGAAGCGGAAUUCCGGGUGUAGCGGUGAAAUGCGUAGAUAUCCGGAGGAACACCGGUGGCGAAGGCGGCUUCCUGGACCGACACUGACGCUGAGGCGCGAAAGCUAGGGGAGCAAACGGGA